AAAUAGAACUUUGCAGAGAGAGUUAAGAGGGCGUGAAACCGUUAAUUGGCAAACGAAUCGGAGCCACGAAGUCGUUUCGUCGAGCUAGGUCGGGUUCAGCUUGCAACCUUCGGGUUGCUGGCGUAUUCUCGUGCCAAGCCAAUGUAAGCGUACACUGCAACCAGUUAGACAAUUGUCCAUGGAACCAGUUGAUCUUGGAUGCGCAAGCAUCUAAGUUUAGCGAACGGUUUGUUUGGUCAGGUUAGUAGUAGUGUGCUGUGGACUUGUCCUCAGUGUGCUGCUGGAUCUGUUGCCAAGUGACCUAUGGGCAAAUACUGACUGGCAAAAUGAAAAUCGCGCGCAAGCGUGUGCACAAAUUGCGCCUUGUUGUAUGAUAGGCUACACAAUCCACCGUGGAUAUAUUAAAGUUCGGUGCUUUUGAAUUUGGACUUGCUAGCUACCAAUGGGGCAACUCUUGGUGCUAGUAUAGCUUCCAUCUAAUCGGGUGCUGGCUUGUAUUCACGUCGUUGUGGUUGUGCUACGAUCGGUCUACAUAUAAGCGAGUGCGUGAAAAUUGGCAGUGAGUAGGUCGGCUUUCCGAACGA
RNAcentral lists this ribosomal RNA (584 nucleotides) under Calacarus carinatus. RNAcentral's name for it is "partial 28S ribosomal RNA". The record is from RNAcentral. Lineage: Eukaryota; Metazoa; Arthropoda; Arachnida; Trombidiformes; Eriophyidae.